GACGUAGGAGGCGAGCGUUGUCCGGAGUCACUGGGCGUAAAGGGCGCGCAGGCGGCCGGGUUGGCCAUCCGUGACAGCCCCCGGCUCAACCGGGAGGGAGCGGGUGGGACCGCCCGGCUGGAGGGUGGCAGAGGUGGGCGGAAUUCCCGGUGUAGUGGUGAAAUGCGUAGAUACCGGGAGGAACACCCGCGGCGAAGGCGGCCCGCUGGGCCAUGCCAUGACGCUGAGGCGCGAAGGCCAGGGGAGCGAACGGG
RNAcentral lists this ribosomal RNA (254 nucleotides) under uncultured bacterium. RNAcentral's name for it is "partial 16S ribosomal RNA". It matches the Rfam family "Bacterial small subunit ribosomal RNA", at positions 524 to 776 of the family's 1533-position model. The record is from RNAcentral.